AGGGGCGCGUGGCUCCGCCCCGCCUGCGGCGCGCGCUCCGGAGGGAGGCGGGGCCCGGCCCGCUCGCGCUCCAGGGCAGUGCGGGAGGAGCGGCAUGGCUCGGCACGGUACGGCACGGUGCCCGCAUGACACAUGGCCGCUUCCAGCCUGCGCCGCCGAUACGGAUUGAACUUUAGUCUCCCAGCAAUUAAGGUGCCUGAAACUGCACUUCAUUAAUGGUUGUUAUGCAAUAAAACCGAUAAAACUGCCCUUAUUUGCAAUAUAAAAACGCAA
Long non-coding RNA from Pogoniulus pusillus (Red-fronted tinkerbird), 273 nucleotides. RefSeq lists it as uncharacterized. The record is from RefSeq and is a predicted model, not a curated record. The transcript is spliced from 2 exons. Lineage: Eukaryota; Metazoa; Chordata; Aves; Piciformes; Lybiidae.